GACGAACGCUGGCGGCGUGCUUAACACAUGCAAGUCGAACGGAAAGGCCCUGCUUUUUUGGGGUGCUCGAGUGGCGAACGGGUGAUUCACACGUGCGUAACCUGCCCUUGACUUUGGGAUAACUUCAGGAAACUUGGGCUAAUACCCGAUCGGAGCUCCUGCUGCAUGGUGGGGGUUGGAAAGUUUCGGCGGUUGGGGAUGGACUCGCGGCUUAUCAGCUUGUUGGUGGGGUAGUGGCUUACCAAGGCUUUGACGGGUAGCCGGCCUGAGAGGGUGACCGGCGACAUGGGGACUGAGAGACGGCCCAGACUCCUACGGGAGGCAGCAGUGGGGAAUAUUGCACAAUGGGCGGAAGCCUGAUGCAGAAACGCCGCGUGCGGGAUGACGGCCUUCGGGUUGUAAACCGCUUUCGCCUGUGACGAAGCGUGAGUGACGGUAAUGGGUAAAGAAGCACCGGCUAACUACGUG
This 468-nucleotide ribosomal RNA is filed under the name uncultured bacterium. RNAcentral's name for it is "partial 16S ribosomal RNA". It matches the Rfam family "Bacterial small subunit ribosomal RNA", at positions 28 to 507 of the family's 1533-position model. The record is from RNAcentral.